GACGAACGCUGGCGGCGUGCUUAACACAUGCAAGUCGAACGGAAAGGCCCUGCUUUUGUGGGGUGCUCGAGUGGCGAACGGGUGAGUAACACGUGAGUAACCUGCCCUUGACUUUGGGAUAACUUCAGGAAACUGGGGCUAAUACCGGAUAGGAGCUCCUGCUGCAUGGUGGGGGUUGGAAAGUUUCGGCGGUUGGGGAUGGACUCGCGGCUUAUCAGCUUGUUGGUGGGGUAGUGGCUUACCAAGGCUUUGACGGGUAGCCGGCCUGAGAGGGUGACCGGCCACAUUGGGACUGAGAUACGGCCCAGACUCAUACGGGAGGAAGCAGUGGGGAAUAUUGCACAAUGGGCGGAAGCCUGAUGCAGCAACGCAGCGUGCGGGAUGACGGCCUUCGGGUUGUAAACCGCUUUCGCCUGUGACGAAGCGUGAGUGACGGUAAUGGGUAAAGAAGCACCGGCUAACUACGUG
Molecule: ribosomal RNA, 468 nt
Filed under: uncultured bacterium
Lineage: Bacteria
Description: partial 16S ribosomal RNA
Rfam family: Bacterial small subunit ribosomal RNA
Source: RNAcentral